CAGUAGCCGCGGUAAUACGUAGGUCCCGAGCGUUGUCCGGAUUUAUUGGGCGUAAAGCGAGCGCAGGCGGUUAGAUAAGUCUGAAGUUAAAGGCUGUGGCUUAACCAUAGUACGCUUUGGAAACCGUUUAACUUGAGUGCAAGAGGGGAGAGUGGAAUUCCAUGUGUAGCGGUGAAAUGCGUAGAUAUAUGGAGGAACACCGGUGGCGAAAGCGGCUCUCUGGCUUGUAACUGACGCUGAGGCUCGAAAGCGUGGGGAGCAAACAGGAUUAGAUACCCCUGUAGUCCCUGUCUCUUAUACA
This 301-nucleotide ribosomal RNA is filed under the name uncultured bacterium. Its description in RNAcentral is "partial 16S ribosomal RNA". It matches the Rfam family "Bacterial small subunit ribosomal RNA", at positions 509 to 808 of the family's 1533-position model. The record is from RNAcentral.